CACCAAUACAGGCCAGGCCCUGGUGUGCCCUUUCAGGGCCUGUCCCCUGCAGUUCUGCAGAGGCCUUCACGCCCCCAUGUGAGGGCAACCAGUCGAGCUUCCCAAUGUUACAGGUGAGGGAACUCAGCCCCGAGAGGGAAGGAACCAGGGUCACGGCAGGCUCCAGAGAGCCAGGAGUCAGGCCUCCAAGCCUGUGUUUUCCCUACCAUCUCCCUCCCCCGGAAUGUCCUCCCUGUUCUUCUCAUGGCUGGCUCCUCCUCAUCUCGGCCUCAAAGUCACCCCCCAGAGGCCUUCCCCACCCUCCCUUGCACCCCUGAUGCUGUCUCAGCCCCUGGUCUCGCCUUCAGAGCACACUGCAUCACUGGUAAUCAUUACAUCAAUUUGCGUUGUGCGUCCUCUCCCCAUCUCCCUGUAAGUCUCGUGAGGAUAGGACUGAUCGCACCAACUGGAUCCCUGCAGGCUCCUUGACUCGCACCGAGCACAGAGGAGGCGCCCAGCCAGCGCUCUUUGGAUCAAGGGUUCCUCCGUGAGCAGCAGGUGCCACGCUCGCCAGCAGACUGGGCAGCAGCAAACAUCCCCACGGCCCUGGAUCUCGCCCCCUAAACCUCUCUCGUGCCCCUUCCCUGCCACCCAGGGUCUCAGCUGCCAUGACCCUCAGAGGAGGCUGAGCCCCUGCUCAGUGGCUGGGGAGAAAGCUGGGUCCGGGGGCUGCAGGACAGGAGGAGGGGGCGGGCCUCUGAGCUGGCAGACAAAGGGCAUGUGUUCUCAUCCAGUGCACUUCCUGGGUUUCCAUGGCAGGAAGCUUGGCACCUGCCAAGGUGACACCGACACCCGGGCUGGUGCGGGAGAUACUUGGCCGGGACGCUCCUCUUUACCUGGGAGCAGUGGCAGAGGUGGGACUAGUGGCCAGGGGUGCUGCAUGGCAGGUAAGUAGUGGCAGCUGGACCCCCGCACCUGGACCUUGCCCCUUCCCAAGACCGUCUUAGCCCAGAACAGAUGUGGGGAGGCCUGGGUCCUAGAUGGAGUCAGCGUGACCUUGGACAAGGCCCCAAAUCAACCCUUCGGUGACUCAUUGUCCCCCCUCAGGGGGACUUGGAGGAUAUCACUGGAGGCUGACCCGAGAGGUAGGCAGCCAUGGCCCCCACUUUACAGACGAAAAAACUGAGGCCCGGGAAGGUAGAGUGGCCGCCAGGGGUCAGACGGUUAGCGAUCGGCCGUGGAGCUCAGGUCCACCUGACUCAGGACCCUGGGAGAUCCCAGGCCAAACUGAGAUGGAAGCACCCCUCCCCGCGACAGGGCGGGUGAGGCCACCAACCCAG
This 1319-nucleotide long non-coding RNA is filed under the name Equus asinus (donkey). RNAcentral's name for it is "lncRNA (ENSEASG00005025572.1)". The record is from RNAcentral. Lineage: Eukaryota; Metazoa; Chordata; Mammalia; Perissodactyla; Equidae.